Acanthosepion pharaonis is the source of this 103-nucleotide non-coding RNA. Lineage: Eukaryota; Metazoa; Mollusca; Cephalopoda; Sepiida; Sepiidae. The record is from the annotation of a GenBank genome assembly.
UACGAUCACAUCAUGAUGAAGCAGUAAUUCCCUUACGAUCACCGAAGUUAAGCAAUGUUGAGCCUGGUCCGUACUUAAAUGGGUGACCGCAUAAGAAUAACAG